This 429-nucleotide ribosomal RNA is filed under the name Gemmatimonadota bacterium. RNAcentral describes it as "Gemmatimonadetes bacterium partial 16S ribosomal RNA". It matches the Rfam family "Bacterial small subunit ribosomal RNA", at positions 355 to 776 of the family's 1533-position model. The record is from RNAcentral. Lineage: Bacteria; Pseudomonadati; Gemmatimonadota.
UAGGGAAUCUUCGGCAAUGGACGAAAGUCUGACCGAGCAACGCCGCGUGAGUGAAGAAGGUUUUCGGAUCGUAAAACUCUGUUGUUAGAGAAGAACAAGGACGUUAGUAACUGAACGUCCCCUGACGGUAUCUAACCAGAAAGCCACGGCUAACUACGUGCCAGCAGCCGCGGUAAUACGUAGGUGGCAAGCGUUGUCCGGAUUUAUUGGGCGUAAAGCGAGCGCAGGCGGUUUCUUAAGUCUGAUGUGAAAGCCCCCGGCUCAACCGGGGAGGGUCAUUGGAAACUGGGAUGCUUGAGUGCAGAAGAGGAGAGUGGAAUUCCAUGUGUAGCGGUGAAAUGCGUAGAUAUAUGGAGGAACACCAGUGGCGAAGGCGGCUCUCUGGUCUGUAACUGACGCUGAGGCUCGAAAGCGUGGGGAGCAAACAGG